RNAcentral lists this transfer RNA (55 nucleotides) under Winogradskyella luteola. Its description in RNAcentral is "tRNA-OTHER". It matches the Rfam family "tRNA", at positions 7 to 65 of the family's 71-position model. Rfam says of the family: Transfer RNA (tRNA) molecules are approximately 80 nucleotides in length. Their secondary structure includes four short double-helical elements and three loops (D, anti-codon, and T loops). Lineage: Bacteria; Pseudomonadati; Bacteroidota; Flavobacteriia; Flavobacteriales; Flavobacteriaceae. The record is from RNAcentral.
GUAGCUCAGUUGGUUAGAGCAAUAGAUUCAAGUGUAGGUUCGAAUCCUACCAAGA